CUCGCGGCUCCUCCAGUGUUCUGCAAUUAGGGGGCGGCUGCUGCCCUGUGAGGAGAAAGGGGCGGGAACGAGUCACGUGACGUGGGGCAGCUCCAGGACUGUGGGGUAUUUAUUGAGGAAACCCCAUUAAAGUAUGAGGAGCAUGCGGCUGUGCGUGAGCAUGCAUCCCACGUCCCGGGCUUCACGUGUCACAGAGUUAGCACAACAAGGCUCAUGAUGGUAACAGGAAAAAGGCCGACGUGCGGAAGUGAAACCCUAGAGUUCAAAUAAUCAGCCAGGAACUAAAAGUUAAGUUGAGGGGCUUAGGAGCCCCCAGAGGAUGAAGGAAUUAAUUCCCUGUGAUCCAUUGGUUAGCAUCGGACCGGAGAUACAUAUCUGACGCUGAAUAAUCUUUUUGUACAUUCAACCAACCUGUUUACGGUACCAGCUGUGAUAUUGGAAUUCCGCGGUGAAAUUAUAUCCGAGACUGCAAGGAUACGACAAUAGUCUGUGGACAGAUUCCUUUACAAGGGCCUGAUGGACCUAGUGAGUAUAUGGGCUUCCGGCGCCCCCUAGUGCUCAACAGUUGGCAAAACAACCUG
This is a long non-coding RNA of Hyla sarda, 581 nucleotides long. RefSeq lists it as uncharacterized. NCBI's taxonomy places the organism in Eukaryota, Metazoa, Chordata, Amphibia, Anura, Hylidae. The record is from RefSeq and is a predicted model, not a curated record. The transcript has 3 exons.